Long non-coding RNA from Hordeum vulgare subsp. vulgare (domesticated barley), 1179 nucleotides. RefSeq lists it as uncharacterized. NCBI's taxonomy places the organism in Eukaryota, Viridiplantae, Streptophyta, Magnoliopsida, Poales, Poaceae. The record is from RefSeq and is a predicted model, not a curated record. The transcript is spliced from 7 exons.
UGCUGGUGGUGGGCACCUCUGCUUUCACCGCUGCUGCUGGUGGGCAACGCCGACGCCCUCCGAUCCCCGUCACCAACCCCCCGAGGCAUCCGCCUCUGCCUGUAGAAGAAGGAUUUGAAUGCACUCUUGCAACAUCCCUUGCAUCCUAAGACAUUCUCACGCCGCUAUUUGGCUGGGGCGGGUAUAUCACCAUUGCUUCAAAAGCAACUAGAAGAGUUGUCCAAGAGGAAUGUAAACAGUAAUAGCAGUAAUGACGAUAAUAAAGGGUCACGAUUUGUUAUUAUUGGCCAGGAUCGUGUGGAACCGUUGCAAGCUCUUCAAGAUUCUGGACAAGAGAUUUGUGUGAACAUGGACAAGCAAAGGGUGAAGAGAAGACUUGCUGAGAAUUGGAGGCGAAAGAAACACGAAGAGAAGAAAAGCACACAGGAACAAAAGAGAAAGGACAGGAGAAGUGCUAAAGAGAGGGACUGGAUAAUAAAUGAAAUACUGAAAGAGGAGGCAUGUAUUGUUUUGAGAUUAUUUGUCUCAGGCCACUUCAGUUCCAUCAUUCCUUCAUAGUCCGCAACUAAGAGAGUGAACAUAUUUUUCUUGCUGAACCAUGAAUCUUAUGGGAAGUAGCGAGCUUUAGAGACUAUGAUUUCGCUGCGGAGGUGUCACCUAAGAAUUCUACAUUCCAGGUUUGCAAGCUUCCACGAUUUCGGAAGCCAAACGGAGAUACUCCGGCUCCUAACUCUGCGGUGGAGCGGAGCGACAUGCAGUUCAUUUCUUUGGAGCGGGCAUUCUGUCGAUCCUUGUUUCCAGAGGAACGGAGUGACUGGAGUGGUACAUUGCCGAACAGGCACUUCAUUGCACAUGAUUUACUGAAUUGCAGAUAUCAAAAGGCGCAUGGAGAAGGAUGUUAACGAAGUGACAAAGGUUGCACGGCUCACAAAAUCAAAACUACAGCAAUUGAAUAAAGAGACGUCAGCAACACCAUCUCUGUGUAGCCAGACGGUUCUUCAUGUAACUCAUCUUUUCUAUUUUCAUAAAGAUCAGCCAAGGCCUUUUGAGUGGUCGCCUGUCACCCUCAUCCCCCUCCCUUAUCUCUUGUUCGAUGUGUUAGUUUGUGUCAACAUGUUCAAGAUUUUGCUAUCUUUUAGCUCAAGCAACUAAACUGUGCUCUGUUCUAAGCAUGCAAAA